RNAcentral lists this ribosomal RNA (513 nucleotides) under uncultured bacterium. Its description in RNAcentral is "bacterial SSU rRNA". It matches the Rfam family "Bacterial small subunit ribosomal RNA", at positions 8 to 521 of the family's 1533-position model. The record is from RNAcentral.
AGAGUUUGAUCCUGGCUCAGGAUGAACGCUGGCGGCGUGCCUAACACAUGCAAGUCGAGCGAAGCGAUUUUGAGGAAGUUUACGGAUGGAAUUGGAAUUGACUGAGCGGCGGACGGGUGAGUAACGCGUGGGUAACCUGCCUCAUACAGGGGGAUAACAGUUAGAAAUGACUGCUAAUACCGCAUAAGCGCACGGGACCGCAUGGUCUUGUGUGAAAAACUCCGGUGGUAUGAGAUGGACCCGCGUCUGAUUAGGUAGUUGGCGGGGUAGCGGCCCACCAAGCCGACGAUCAGUAGCCGACCUGAGAGGGUGACCGGCCACAUUGGGACUGAGACACGGCCCAAACUCCUACGGGAGGCAGCAGUGGGGAAUAUUGCACAAUGGGGGAAACCCUGAUGCAGCGACGCCGCGUGAGUGAAGAAGUAUUUCGGUAUGUAAAGCUCUAUCAGCAGGGAAGAAAGUGACGGUACCUGAGUAAGAAGCCCCGGCUAACUACGUGCCAGCAGCCGCGGU